Molecule: long non-coding RNA, 345 nt
Organism: Leopardus geoffroyi (Geoffroy's cat)
Lineage: Eukaryota; Metazoa; Chordata; Mammalia; Carnivora; Felidae
Exons: 2
Source: RefSeq, a predicted model, not a curated record
AAUCAAGUAUUGGACGCUUAACUGACUGAGCCACCCAGGUGCUCCUAAAGGGUAUUUGAUUAAUUCAAAACCAGAGAACACUGUGAACCCAUAGUGCCUCCCCCACUAAAAGACAAUUCAUCUGGCACUUUCACUGUGGUAAUUAGAAGACUUGAUUGUAAUUUUGAUGUAAAGGUUUUAAAUUCACAGAGAGCAGGAUACAAAGCAGACAUAGUUGACAAUAUUGACUCUGAUAAUCUCAUUAGCAUGGGAUCCAACAACUUUGAUGUGCUAAAGAAAAUUGACAUUCCAUCUGUCUUUACUGGGGAAUCAUCAGCUAGUUCCCUGAAAGAUGAAUUCACAUAU